UGGGCAACCUGCCCUCAGCUCUGGGAUAACCCCGGGAAACCGGGGCUAAUACCGGAUACGACCUCCGCGGGCAUCUGCGGAGGUGGAAAGGUUUUCCGGCUGAGGAUGGGCACGCGGCCUAUCAGCUAGUUGGUGGGGUGAUGGCCCACCAAGGCGACGACGGGUAGCCGGCCUGAGAGGGCGACCGGCCACACUGGGACUGAGACACGGCCCAGACUCCUACGGGAGGCA
Molecule: ribosomal RNA, 231 nt
Filed under: uncultured bacterium
Lineage: Bacteria
Description: partial 16S ribosomal RNA
Rfam family: Bacterial small subunit ribosomal RNA
Source: RNAcentral